Molecule: ribosomal RNA, 421 nt
Filed under: Salmonella enterica subsp. enterica
Lineage: Bacteria; Pseudomonadati; Pseudomonadota; Gammaproteobacteria; Enterobacterales; Enterobacteriaceae
Description: bacterial SSU rRNA
Rfam family: Bacterial small subunit ribosomal RNA
Source: RNAcentral
UAAUACGUAGGUGACAAGCGUUGUCCGGAUUUAUUGGGCGUAAAGCGAGCGCAGGCGGUCUUUUAAGUCUGAUGUGAAAGCCCACGGCUCAACCGUGGAGGGGCAUUGGAAACUGGAAGACUUGAAUACAGAAGAGGAAAGUGGAAUUCCAUGUGUAGCGGUGAAAUGCGUAGAUAUAUGGAGGAACACCAGUGGCGAAGGCGACUUUCUGGUCUGUAAUUGACGCUGAGGUUCGAAAGCGUGGGGAGCGAACAGGAUUAGAUACCCUGGUAGUCCACGCCGUAAACGAUGAGUGCUAAGUGUUAGAGGGUUUCCGCCCUUUAGUGCUGAAGUCAACGCAUUAAGCACUCCGCCUGGGGAUUACGACCGCAAGGUUGAAACUCAAAGGAAUUGACGGGGACCCGCACAAGCGGUGGAGCAU